Molecule: ribosomal RNA, 520 nt
Filed under: uncultured Glomus
Lineage: Eukaryota; Fungi; Glomeromycota; Glomeromycetes; Glomerales; Glomeraceae
Description: SSU rRNA
Rfam family: Eukaryotic small subunit ribosomal RNA
Source: RNAcentral
AGCAGCCGCGGUAAUUCCAGCUCCAAUAGCGUAUAUUAAAGUUGUUGCAGUUAAAAAGCUCGUAGUUGAAUUUCGGGAUCAAUCUGCCGGUCGUGCCUCCGGUAUGCACUGGUUUUAUUGGUUUCUCCCUUCUGACGAAUCAUGAUGUCAUUAAUUUGGUGUCAUGGGGAAUCAGGACUGUUACUUUGAAAAAAUUAGAGUGUUUAAAGCAGGCUCACGCUUGAAUACAUUAGCAUGGAAUAAUGAAAUAGGACGUUUGACCCUAUUUUGUUGGUUUCUAGGAUCGACGUAAUGAUUAAUAGGGAUAGUUGGGGGCAUUAGUAUUCAAUUGUCAGAGGUGAAAUUCUUGGAUUUAUUGAAGACUAACUACUGCGAAAGCAUCUGCCAAGGAUGUUUUCAUUAAUCAAGAACGAAAGUUAGGGGAUCGAAGACGAUCAGACACCGUCGUAGUCCUAACCAUAAACUAUGCCGACUAGGGAUCGGAUGAUGUUAAUUUUUUAAUGACUCAUUCGGCGCCUUA